Peromyscus maniculatus bairdii (prairie deer mouse) is the source of this 723-nucleotide non-coding RNA. The record is from RefSeq and is a predicted model, not a curated record. Lineage: Eukaryota; Metazoa; Chordata; Mammalia; Rodentia; Cricetidae.
GACACAUAACGACACACAUGGCCAUUUCGGUUCAUUCAAAGUAUCCCGGCCUUGAGGUUGGGCCACCUGCUCCAAUAACACAAAACAGUGGGAGGAUCAAGGAACAGCUCUGGUUUUGCUUAAUCAUGAUGGAGAACCAAACCUAGUCUCCAGUCAUCCCUGGCACGGUAGUUUCCAUGGGACCUCGGGGACCAGGCAGUUUAGGAAGGCAACUCUCUCCGCCACUUUCAAACUGUUUGCGGUGGAGUUGGAAAGGGGACGUCAUUCAAAAUGCAGCCUGUGGGGAUUCAUUUUGGGCAGCAGAUCACAGUGCUGAACACAAUAGCUCUCUGUCCUCUGAGCAAGCCUCCGCGGAACCUUGGCUGCUCUGGACCGACAGGGCUCAAGGAAACCAUUACAUAGGACGGAAGGUCCAACCAGCGCCGGGGUUUUACUCCUGCCUAGGAGCCCACUGGAGUCCCUGAACUCCCAAAGAAACGACUCCUUUCAUCCGGGCUGGGGGAAGUGGGCUCUGGUUCUGAUCAGACUCCCCAGCAUUCCUCCACCACAGUACCUCAGUAACAGGGAUGGAGAUGAGAGGUGGUGGAUUCCAGAGAGAAGCACGGAGAGAAACUGUCUUCAACUUGUGGAUCAUAUGUGAGUUCACAGCUAUUGAUCCAGCACCAUGCCUGCCUGCUGCCUUAAUGACCAUGGACUAAUCCUCUGGAACUGUAAGCAAGCCCC